RNAcentral lists this ribosomal RNA (824 nucleotides) under uncultured bacterium. RNAcentral describes it as "bacterial SSU rRNA". It matches the Rfam family "Bacterial small subunit ribosomal RNA", at positions 601 to 1426 of the family's 1533-position model. The record is from RNAcentral.
CCCCNGGCUCAACCUGGGAACUGCGUUNUGAACUGGGUGACUAGAGUGUNUCAGAGGGAGGUAGAAUUCCACGUGUAGCAGUGAAAUGCGUAGAGAUGUGGAGGAAUACCGAUGGCGAAGGCAGCCUCCUGGGAUAACACUGACGUUCAUGCCCGAAAGCGUGGGUAGCAAACAGGAUUAGAUACCCUGGUAGUCCACGCCCUAAACGAUGUCGAUUAGCUGUUGGGCAGCAUGACUGCUUAGUAGUGAAGCUAACGCGUGAAAUCGACCGCCUGGGGAGUACGGUCGCAAGAUUAAAACUCAAAGGAAUUGACGGGGACCCGCACAAGCGGUGGAUGAUGUGGAUUAAUUCGAUGCAACGCGAAGAACCUUACCUGGUCUUGACAUGUACGGAACCCUCCAGAGACGGAGGGGUGCCUUCGGGAGCCGUAACACAGGUGCUGCAUGGCUGUCGUCAGCUCGUGUCGUGAGAUGUUGGGUUAAGUCCCGCAACGAGCGCAACCCUUGUCAUUAGUUGCCAUCAUUAAGUUGGGCACUCUAAUGAGACUGCCGGUGACAAGCCGGAGGAAGGUGGGGAUGACGUCAAGUCCUCAUGGCCCUUAUGACCAGGGCUUCACACGUCAUACAAUGGUCGGUACAGAGGGUAGCCGAGCCGCGAGGUGGAGCCAAUCUCACAAAACCGAUCGUAGUCCGGAUUGCACUCUGCAACUCGAGUGCAUGAAGUCGGAAUCGCUAGUAAUCGCAGGUCAGCAUACUGCGGUGAAUACGUUCCCGGGUCUUGUACACACCGCCCGUCACACCAUGGGAGUGGGGGAUACCAGAAG